Molecule: ribosomal RNA, 484 nt
Filed under: uncultured bacterium
Lineage: Bacteria
Description: partial 16S ribosomal RNA
Rfam family: Bacterial small subunit ribosomal RNA
Source: RNAcentral
AUUGAACGCUGGCGGCAUGCUUUACACAUGCAAGUCGAACGGCAGCGCGGGCUUCGGCCUGGCGGCGAGUGGCGAACGGGUGAGUAAUACAUCGGAACGUGCCCAGUAGUGGGGGAUAGCUCGGCGAAAGCCGGAUUAAUACCGCAUACGACCUGAGGGUGAAAGCGGGGGAUCUUCGGACCUCGCGCUAUUGGAGCGGCCGAUGGCCGAUUAGCUAGUUGGUGGGGUAAAGGCCUACCAAGGCGACGAUCUGUAGCUGGUCUGAGAGGACGACCAGCCACACUAGGACUGAGACACGGCCCAGACUCCUACGGGAGGCAGCAGUGGGGAAUUUUGGACAAUGGGCGAAAGCCUGAUCCAGCAAUGCCGCGUGUGUGAUGAAGGCCUUCGGGUUGUAAAGCACUUUUGGCGGGAACGAAAAGGACUGUGCCAAUACCACGGUUCGAUGACGGUACCCGCAGAAUAAGCACCGGCUAACUACGUG